UUUGGUGACAUCUGUUCACUCUUCUGUCUAGGUAUCUCUGUGCUUGGUUGUCACAGCCACUAUUUGUUCACAAUCUUUUUGUUUCUGGGAAAUUAAGUUUUCUACAAGAUGGGAAACAAUAUCUGCUAGUAUCAAAAUGUAAAUCAGUUUAUAACCAUACAGAGUUGGAGGACAAACACGACUGCAAGACAUCACCAUUUACAGAAGGAGGCUACUGUCAUCAUUUGGAGAGUAUAACAGAAAAUGCAUCCCAAAUAGAGACAGAAUGGCUUUUCGGCCUGGCAGAGCCCUGGCUCACACUGUUUCAGUGGCGAACAUCCAGGGUGAUAAUCCCUGCAAGCAAUCGCUUAGCUGGUGCUGAUCCUCCAGCAGGCUGUUGGAGCAAAGGUUAUCAGGUAAGUGAGGAACUCCAGUGAGGCCUACAAGUGUGAAGAGAGAAAAUGGCUUCAGUCUGUCAUUAAAGGCAGAAGUUUAUUUUAAAGAUCACAUUUGAAACGUGGGUAAGGAAUUAAUUAUGCUGUUAGCUGACUGAUAGCUUAUUGAUUAGCAGUUCCUGCCUUUCCGUCUUUUAGGAAUUAUGCUGCUGGCUUCCUUUCUUAAAAGCUUCCUAUCACUGCUGUUCUUUGGGAUUUAUGUGUAUAUCUCCAUUAAGGCUCUUAUAGCUUAUCUGAUGCAUGUGCUUGAUCUGCUAUCUAACUGCUGGCUCUAUUUACUAAUUUUACUAUGACUAGGCAACAACAAAAAAAAAGCCAAACCAAAAAAAGUGUUAUUCCUCUCUUUCUCCACAUUUUCUCAAACAGCAUAUUUACCACUUCUGCAGCCUCUUUGAGCAUGAGAAUUUUAGUGGCUGAGACACAAGAUUUAUACUGGUAAGAAAAAGACUUAGGGCUAUACUUUUGUUAGUCCCAGCAGAAUUCAGAGCUGUCUUCAUAGACCACAGAACAGUGUUUGAUGUGAAAGUGCUACAGCACGAUUACAAUGGAGUCUUUUCCAACGUAUCAGCAUUUUUUUUAUCAGAAGAUUUCUACGUUAUUGAGCCUCUGGGAAUACAGCUGGAAAUUACAGUCAUGCCACUGGAAAUGUGCCCAAAGAUCUGAUGUCACAUAAAUGUAGGAGUGAAAAUUGUCUGUAUAGGGGUGAAGCCAAAUAGACAAAGUUCACUGUAGAG
Non-coding RNA from Phasianus colchicus (ring-necked pheasant), 1168 nucleotides. NCBI's taxonomy places the organism in Eukaryota, Metazoa, Chordata, Aves, Galliformes, Phasianidae. The record is from RefSeq and is a predicted model, not a curated record.